Molecule: ribosomal RNA, 235 nt
Filed under: uncultured Candidatus Saccharibacteria bacterium
Lineage: Bacteria; Candidatus Saccharimonadota
Description: partial 16S ribosomal RNA
Rfam family: Bacterial small subunit ribosomal RNA
Source: RNAcentral
AAGUGAAUGGUGAAAUCUGGAGGCUCAACCUUACAGACUAUUAUUCAAACUCACUAACUCGAGAGUAGCAGAGGUAACUGGAAUUUCUGAAGUAGGGGUAAUAUCCGUAGAUAUCAGAAGGAACACCAAUGGCGUAGGCAGGUUACUGGGCUAUUUCUGACACUGAGGCACGAAAGCGUGGGGAGCGAACCGGAUUAGAUACCCGGGUAGUCCACGCCGUAAACGAUGGAUACUA